This 448-nucleotide ribosomal RNA is filed under the name uncultured bacterium. Its description in RNAcentral is "partial 16S ribosomal RNA". It matches the Rfam family "Bacterial small subunit ribosomal RNA", at positions 29 to 523 of the family's 1533-position model. The record is from RNAcentral.
AACGAACGCUGGCGGCAUGCCUAACACAUGCAAGUCGAACGAGAUCUUCGGGUCUAGUGGCGCACGGGUGCGUAACGCGUGGGAAUCUGCCCUUUGGUUCGGAAUAACAGUGGAAACGACUGCUAAUACCGGAUGAUGACGAAAGUCCAAAGAUUUAUCGCCAGAGGAUGAGCCCGCGUAGGAUUAGCUAGUUGGUGUGGUAAAGGCGCACCAAGGCGACGAUCCUUAGCUGGUCUGAGAGGAUGAUCAGCCACACUGGGACUGAGACACGGCCCAGACUCCUACGGGAGGCAGCAGUGGGGAAUAUUGGACAAUGGGCGAAAGCCUGAUCCAGCAAUGCCGCGUGAGUGAUGAAGGGCUUAGGGUUGUAAAGCUCUUUUACCCGGGAUGAUAAUGACAGUACCGGGAGAAUAAGCUCCGGCUAACUCCGUGCCAGCCGCCGCGGUAA